ACUUUAGAAAGAGAGUUAAAUAGCAUAUAAAAUUAUUAAAAGAGAAGCGCUUAUAGCUAGACUUAUCUAUAGUUACUUAUCUAGACUUUUAUCUAGUACACUCUUCUAUAGAUAGGCUAGUAUUAGUUUAGGCAGUUAGAUAAAGGUCUCUAUUAUAUAUCUUCUUUUAGAGAAGCCUUAUAGAGAAGAUAAUAUAUAACUAGCCUAGACUAAGAUCUGCGCAUCUACUAGGAUGCUAGCGUAAUAGCUAUAAGCAGCCUAUCUUAAAAUAUAGACUAAGAAGUCUAAUAUCUAUGCAAGUAUUUAGAUAUUAAGCUUAGAUGCGUAAUAAAAGUAAAUAGAGAUAGAAACCUUUUAGAUAUACUAUUAACUAAUUCUAAUAUCUUUAGAAGAAUUUAAGUAAGAGCAUAGCUAUUAGGAUCUAAAAGAUAGUAAACUAUGCUUAAAUAGAGUAAAGCUAGAGAAAACUCUAGUAGAGGCUUAUAGUAGUUCUAACGUGCAAAUUAAUUAUUAAAUUUAGGCAUAGAGGCAAAAGAAUAAUUAAACUAUCUAGUAGCUAGUUUCUAUUAAAGUUUCUCUUAGAAUAGCAGUAACGUAUUUAGUUUUAUAAGAUAAAGCAAAUAAUUAGAGGCCUAGAGGUUAAAAUAAUCUUUAUCUAUUCUUAAACUUUAAAUAUAUAAGAAGUUCUUAUUACUUAAUUAAACGUAGAUACUUAAAUAUACUAUUACUAGUAGGCUAUUUUUAGUAAGCAGAACUAGCGAUAUAGGAUAAACUAAAUAUAGAGUUAAGAUGCUAGAAUAUACGCUUAUUAGAUACUAUAAAAGAUAUUAGUUUAUCUAGAUAGCAGGAUAGUAGCUAUAGAAGUUAGAAUCUGCUAAGAAGUAUAUAAUAACUUACCUACUAAAUAAACUAGCUCUAAAAAUAGAUAGCGCUUAAGCAUAUUAUCUAUACUCUGCUGCUAGAGCAGAACUUAAGCUCUAGUAAGUAGGCAGGCAUAGAGGCUUAUAAUAAAGCCUUAGAGCUAACUCUAGAUUAAAUAGCCUCUAGUAUAGAUCUUAGUAGUAGUAGCAAAUACUUAAAUAAGAACUUUAAGAACUAAAGUAGAGAAAGAUUCUAUAUAAAUAGUAGUUAGAUAUAGGUUAGUUAAUUCUAAGAGAUAGAGUAGUUCUAUUUUAAUAUUAGCGCUUACGCUACGCUCUUAAAAGAAAAGCUAGUUAAUAUUCCGAUAUCUAGAUAUAGAUUCUUUAUAGCAAUAUAACUAAGAGCAGAGAUCUUAGCAAGAGCUCUAAGAAGAGUUCUCUUUUCUUCUUAAUAGUCUAUUACUCUAAAAUUAGUUUAUCUAGAGCUAGAGUUUAAUAGCUAAAAGAGCGCUGCACUUUUAUAGCAUUUAGUGCGCUCCUAAUAAGCCUUAAAAAUCUGCUUAAAGAAAUAGUUUUUACGCUAGAUUAUACUUAUAACUAUAGCAGAUCUCUAAGAUAAAAAGCCUCUAGUUAAUAGAAUAAUAUAGAUAAAAGAAGUUAGUAAAAUAGAUCUAUAACUUUAGAAAAAGAAUUAGCUCUAAGAGUUAGAUAUAUUAGGCCUUAGAGAGAAGCCUCUAGCGCAGAAGAGCACUAGCUGCAAGAUAGGCGCCUUUUAGCGCUAGAAUGCAGGUAUUCUUAGUAGGCUUUAGCUAUCUAGCGUACGUUUAAUAACUAACUUAGAACUAGUAUAGAUAAGAGAAAUCUAACUAUCUAAUUAAAAUAUAGCAUUGCAAUAGCUAGAAAGUAGUAUUAACGCAAUAUAAUUUCUGCCUAGUGCUCUAAAUAUUAAAGCAAAGAGAUUCGACUAAGCGCGAGUAAAUAGCAGAAGUAACUAUAACUCUCUUAAGAUAGCUAAAUACCUUAUUAUCUAAUUAGUAACGCGCAUAAAUAGAUUAAUAAGAUUUCUACUAUCUCUAUCUACUAUCUAGCGAAACUAUAGCUAAGAGAAUAGGCUUAGCUAAAUUAGUAGAGAAAGAAGACUCUAUUAAGCUUAACUCUAGUUUAAUAUUAUAAAAAGAUAUAGAGAGUAUAGAAUAGAUAGAAGCUUUAGCGCUAGUAAAAUACUACUACUCUUAUUAUUUUUUUACUUAUUGCGUAG
Molecule: ribosomal RNA, 2118 nt
Filed under: Parastagonospora avenae f. sp. tritici
Lineage: Eukaryota; Fungi; Ascomycota; Dothideomycetes; Pleosporales; Phaeosphaeriaceae
Description: eukaryotic LSU rRNA
Rfam family: Eukaryotic large subunit ribosomal RNA
Source: RNAcentral